Molecule: ribosomal RNA, 396 nt
Filed under: uncultured bacterium
Lineage: Bacteria
Description: partial 16S ribosomal RNA
Rfam family: Bacterial small subunit ribosomal RNA
Source: RNAcentral
UACGUAGGGGGCGAGCGUUGUCCGGAAUGAUUGGGCGUAAAGGGCGCGUAGGCGGCCCGGUAAGUCUGGAGUGAAAGUCCUGUUUUUAAGAUGGGAAUUGCUUUGGAUACUGUCGGGCUUGAGUGCAGGAGAGGUAAGUGGAAUUCCCAGUGUAGCGGUGAAAUGCGUAGAGAUUGGGAGGAACACCAGUGGCGAAGGCGACUUACUGGACUGUAACUGACGCUGAGGCGCGAAAGUGUGGGGAGCAAACAGGAUUAGAUACCCUGGUAGUCCACACUGUAAACGAUGAAUGCUAGGUGUAGGGGGUAUCGACCCCUUCUGUGCCGCAGUCAACACAAUAAGCAUUCCGCCUGGGGAGUACGGCCGCAAGGUUGAAACUCAAAUGAAUUGACGGGG